CUGUGAGUUCCGUCACUUAGGUUCGAAAUCCGGCCACUGGAGAAUUUACAUGCGGACUCCCCAGCGUCCGAGAUCGAAAACCAUUAACGUUGAGCCACAUGGUGAUGCUCUGGCAGCGUCCUUGCUCGCUUCAGUCUCUAGUCUGGGCCACUACGGUGGGGCCAGAACACUCGGUUAUCAAAAAAAAAAAUCAUCCAAAUAAAAUUUUCAUAGUACAUAAUAUUAAUACAUGAGGAAUGUCCAAAUUAAGUUGAUGUAAGAUGAACAAUCAGUCGACA
This 278-nucleotide long non-coding RNA is filed under the name Brassica rapa (field mustard). RNAcentral's name for it is "long non-coding RNA (BRAP_LNC007753)". Lineage: Eukaryota; Viridiplantae; Streptophyta; Magnoliopsida; Brassicales; Brassicaceae. The record is from RNAcentral.